Long non-coding RNA from Bactrocera tryoni, 1191 nucleotides. RefSeq lists it as uncharacterized. The transcript is spliced from 2 exons. The record is from RefSeq and is a predicted model, not a curated record. Lineage: Eukaryota; Metazoa; Arthropoda; Insecta; Diptera; Tephritidae.
UCAACAUAUUGCUCACAUGCCUUUAUAUAUAUUUUUAUUCACAAGUGUGUGUGUGUGUGUUACGAUAAUGUCGCUGCACUUUUCAAGAAUUUCUCCGCCAUCUAUGCAUGUUCUUACAAUUUUUCUUUUUUUUUUAUUUAUUUUCAAUUUUUUAAUUUCCUCUCUUACUUUUCACUGACUGCUGCGAUGCCUUGUGCCAAUUUGCUAUAAUUUUCGUGGAAUUUGUAUAAAGUUUCGACAAACUUUCACGCCUUUUGGACGCCGGCAGAGUGUCAGCAGUACGUUGGCGCCCAAUUAUGUUGCGCCACUGGAAUGUCAUUGUGCCCGAGAAUAAUGUGUACUACCGCGGUGUUUACAAAUGAAGCUUUCGCUCGUACAUAGCGAAAUACAUACAUAUAUAUAUAUAGAUAGAUAUAUACUACGUGUAAAUAUAUAACAUAUGCAUCUAUACAUGCAUAUGAGUUUAUUUUUCAAAUGUCAAAAAUCACAGACAAAUGUGAACUUUCCGCACCGUGAAUAUGCGUAAAAUGUACAUUAAUACAAACAAAUUGCAACAACCCGCAGCAACAAUAAUAGCAUAGUAAUGCAAAAGCUGUAUGAAAGCAAAGUGGCAAUAAUAAAAUUUCGCAUUAUUUCAUUAAAAAGUUUCUUGCGUAUUUUUCCCCCACUAAACAUUCGUUAGGAAAGUCAUUGCAGUUAUAUAAUAUUCACACGUACAUACAUAUGUAUAUACAUAAAUGCAAACAUAAAAGUAGUGUUAGCAAAUAUUUUUGUACAAAAAUAACCUUCGUUGUAAGCGCCGUCUGAUGCUAAAUGCUGUGAACUCACUGGCCGACAAUAUGGAGUUACAUACAUAUCUCAAGUUAUCAGAACAGCAGCGGAUUUUCUAACUUUACUCUUAAAAUUUAAAACAUCAUGGCUCUUCCUUAUGUCAAGUUUGCUUUGCAGAUGUUAGUAAAAAUAAGAUGAGUGGAAUAAUAAUAAUAAUAAGAGGAAUCGAAAACAAAUCCACAAUAUUUUAAAUUCUUAUCCAUCUCAUGCUACUCAAUUACUACUCACGAAACUAGAACUGAUUAAGUGAGCUGAGCACUGUGCCCCCAAAUACAGAAAUCUAGUGAAACCCAGAAAAUGAGGUUGCAACUGAGAGUAUAAGAAUCUUCGGAUGAAAAGAUAUUGUUGUAGGCGUUUGCC